ACUCAAAGGAAUUGACGGGGGCCCGCACAAGCAGUGGAGUAUGUGGUUUAAUUCGAAGCAACGCGAAGAACCUUACCAGGGCUUGACAUCCAACUAACGAGGCAGAGAUGCGUCAGGUGCCCUUCGGGGAAAGUUGAGACAGGUGGUGCAUGGUUGUCGUCAGCUCGUGUCGUGAGAUGUUGGGUUAAGUCCCGCAACGAGCGCAACCCUUACGGUUAGUUGCUACGCAAGAGCACUCUAGCCGGACUGCCGUUGACAAAACGGAGGAAGGUGGGGACGACGUCAAAUCAUCAUGCCCCUUACGUCCUGGGCUACACACGUACUACAAUGGCGGACAUACAACGGGUUGCGACAUAGCGAUAUGAAGCUAAUCUCUAAAAAGCCGUCUCAGUUCGGAUUGCAGGCUGAAACCCGCCUGCAUGAAGUCGGAAUUGCUAGUAAUCGCGGAUCAGCAUGCCGCGGUGAAUACGUUCCCGGGCCUUGUACACACCGCCCGU
This 497-nucleotide ribosomal RNA is filed under the name uncultured bacterium. RNAcentral's name for it is "bacterial SSU rRNA". It matches the Rfam family "Bacterial small subunit ribosomal RNA", at positions 899 to 1397 of the family's 1533-position model. The record is from RNAcentral.